This 73-nucleotide transfer RNA is filed under the name Stegodyphus dumicola. RNAcentral describes it as "tRNA-Arg". It matches the Rfam family "tRNA". Rfam says of the family: Transfer RNA (tRNA) molecules are approximately 80 nucleotides in length. Their secondary structure includes four short double-helical elements and three loops (D, anti-codon, and T loops). Lineage: Eukaryota; Metazoa; Arthropoda; Arachnida; Araneae; Eresidae. The record is from RNAcentral.
GUACGCGUGGCCUAAUGGAUAAGGCGUCUGACUUCGAAUCAGAAGAUUGCAGGUUCGAAUCCUGUCUCGGACG